GAUGAACGCUGGCGGCGUGCCUAAUACAUGCAAGUCGAGCGAACAGACGAGGAGCUUGCUUCUCUGAUGUUAGCGGCGGACGGGUGAGUAACACGUGGAUAACCUACCUAUAAGACUGGGAUAACUUCGGGAAACCGGAGCUAAUACCGGAUGAUAUUUUGAACCGCAUGGUUCAAUAGUGAAAGACGGUUUUGCUGUCACUUAUAGAUGGAUCCGCGCUGCAUUAGCUAGUUGGUAAGGUAACGGCUUACCAAGGCAACGAUGCGUAGCCGACCUGAGAGGGUGAUCGGCCACACUGGAACUGAGACACGGUCCAGACUCCUACGGGAGGCAGCAGUAGGGAAUCUUCCGCAAUGGGCGAAAGCCUGACGGAGCAACGCCGCGUGAGUGAUGAAGGUCUUCGGAUCGUAAAACUCUGUUAUUAGGGAAGAACAAAUGUGUAAGUAACUAUGCACGUCUUGACGGUACCUAAUCAGAAAGCCACGGCUAACUACGUG
Molecule: ribosomal RNA, 497 nt
Filed under: uncultured bacterium
Lineage: Bacteria
Description: partial 16S ribosomal RNA
Rfam family: Bacterial small subunit ribosomal RNA
Source: RNAcentral